Molecule: small nuclear RNA, 275 nt
Filed under: Chinchilla lanigera (long-tailed chinchilla)
Lineage: Eukaryota; Metazoa; Chordata; Mammalia; Rodentia; Chinchillidae
Description: 7SK RNA (ENSCLAG00000022080.1)
Rfam family: 7SK RNA
About the family: 7SK was discovered as an abundant small nuclear RNA in the mid-70s but a possible function has only recently been suggested. Two independent studies have found that 7SK RNA binds the CDK9/cyclin T complex (known as elongation factor P-TEFb).
Source: Rfam by way of RNAcentral
GCCUGUGAGGGCAACCUGACUGUGACAUCUGUCACCCCAUUGAUCAGAGUUGAGGUGGCCGAUCUGGCCGGCUAGGCAGUGUCCCUUCCUCUCGCAUGUCUCCAUGUGUGUCCCUCCCAACACUGUGUGCUUGGUGGAGGAGGUCGACGCUCCCUGAGAGAGGAGGCCCUUUCUGUCCAGGUACAGGAGCCGCCGGCUGCGCUGCCGGAACCUCCACACAAGCUCUCGGGAGCCAGGCAGGUGUACUUCCGCCUCUGUCCUCAUGGUCAUCUGGC